AGAGUUUGAUCAUGGCUCAGAAUUAACGCUGGCGGCAUGCCUAACACAUGCAAGUCGCACGAGAAAGCCCCUUUCGGGGGGCAAGUACAGUGGCGCACGGGUGAGUAACGCGUGGAUAAUCUACCUCUAUCUGGGGGAUAACCCACCGAAAGGUGGGCUAAUACCGCAUAUUCCGGCGGGUCUUCGGGUCUGUCGGUAAAGGUGGCCUCUUCCUGAAAGCUACCGGGUGGAGAUGAGUCCGCGUCCCAUUAGCUAGUUGGUAGGGUAAAAGCCUACCAAGGCGACGAUGGGUAGCUGGUCUGAGAGGACGAUCAGCCACACUGGAACUGGAACACGGUCCAGACUCCUACGGGAGGCAGCAGUGAGGAAUAUUGCGCAAUGGGGGAAACCCUGACGCAGCGAUGCCGCGUGGGUGAAGAAGGCCUUCGGGUCGUAAAGCCCUGUCAAGCGGGAAGAAUAGCGGCGGGACGAAUAAUCCCGUCGUCUGACGGUACCGCUGAAGGAAGCACCGGCUAACUCCGUGCCAGCAGCCGCGGUAAGACGGAGGGUGCAAGCGUUAUUCGGAUUUAUUGGGCGUAAAGAGCGUGUAGGCGGCCGGCCAAGUCAGAUGUGAAAGCCCAGGGCUUAACCCUGGAAGUGCAUUUGAAACUGGUUGGCUUGAGUUCGGGAGAGGGAAGUGGAAUUCCGGGUGUAGAGGUGAAAUUCGUAGAUAUCCGGAGGAACACCGGUGGCGAAGGCGACUUCCUGGACCGAAACUGACGCUGAGACGCGAAAGCGUGGGGAGCAAACAGGAUUAGAUACCCUAGUAGUCC
This 812-nucleotide ribosomal RNA is filed under the name uncultured bacterium. RNAcentral's name for it is "bacterial SSU rRNA". It matches the Rfam family "Bacterial small subunit ribosomal RNA", at positions 8 to 796 of the family's 1533-position model. The record is from RNAcentral.